GUCUACGGCCAUACUACCCUGAGCGCACCAGAUCUCGGAAGCUAAGCAGGAUCUGUCCUGGUUAGUGCUUGGAUGGGAGACCACUUGGGAUUACUGGGUACUGUAUGCU
This 109-nucleotide ribosomal RNA is filed under the name Saimiri boliviensis boliviensis (Bolivian squirrel monkey). The record is from RNAcentral. Lineage: Eukaryota; Metazoa; Chordata; Mammalia; Primates; Cebidae.